This 22-nucleotide microRNA is filed under the name Cavia porcellus (domestic guinea pig). Its description in RNAcentral is "cpo-miR-1343-5p". Lineage: Eukaryota; Metazoa; Chordata; Mammalia; Rodentia; Caviidae. The record is from miRBase by way of RNAcentral.
UGGGGAGCGGCCCCCCGGGCGG